CAGAACACUACAAGCAAUAGCUUGAAACUGAAAGGACCUGGCGGUGCUUUACAUCCGUCCAGAGGAGCCUGUUCUAUAAUCGGUAUACCCCGAUAAUCCUUACCACCUCUUGCCCUCAGCCUACAUACCGCCAUCUUCAGCAAACUCCUUAAAGAUCGUAGAGUCAGCAGAAGUAUCAUACAAACAUUAGGUCAAGGUGCAGCCAAUGAAGUGGGAAUAAAUGGGCUACAUUUUCUAAAUGAGAAAAACUACACAACAGCCUUUCUGAAAUCUAAAGGCCUAAGGUGGAUUUAGCAGUAAAUCAAGAAUAGAGAGCUUGAUUGAACCAAGGCCAUUAAGCAUGCACACGCCACCCGUCACCCUCCUCAAACAUCACACAAAAGUACAUUAACAAUAAGCCACUACACACUGAUACAGAGGGGAUAAGCUGUAACACGGUAAGCGUACUGGAAAGUGCGCUCG
Molecule: non-coding RNA, 462 nt
Filed under: Callithrix jacchus (white-tufted-ear marmoset)
Lineage: Eukaryota; Metazoa; Chordata; Mammalia; Primates; Cebidae
Description: Bacterial small subunit ribosomal RNA
Rfam family: Archaeal small subunit ribosomal RNA
Source: Rfam by way of RNAcentral